RNAcentral lists this transfer RNA (68 nucleotides) under Uroplatus lineatus. Its description in RNAcentral is "tRNA-Pro". The record is from RNAcentral. Lineage: Eukaryota; Metazoa; Chordata; Lepidosauria; Squamata; Gekkonidae.
CAAGAAAUAGUUUAGAUUAAAAUGCGAGUUUUGGGGACUUGCGAUGAGAUUUUAGAUCUCUUUUUUGA